This 2583-nucleotide long non-coding RNA is filed under the name Canis lupus familiaris (dog). Its description in RNAcentral is "lncRNA (ENSCAFG00000058326.1)". Lineage: Eukaryota; Metazoa; Chordata; Mammalia; Carnivora; Canidae. The record is from RNAcentral.
UUUUUUUUUUUUUUUUUUUUGCAUAACUGAAAUCAUUGAUAUAUAGCUUUGUUUUGUUUUGUUUUUUAUAUAUGCAUUGUGUUUUGAAAAGUAGUGGGUCCUGGGGUGCCUGGGUGGCUCAGUCGGUUAAGCAUUUGCCUUUGGCUCAGGUCAUCAGCCCAGGGUCCUGAGAUCAAGCCUUACACACACUCUCUACUCAGCGAGGAGUCUACUUUUCCCUCUCCCUCACAAAUAAAUAAAAUCUUAGAAACAAAACAAAAAAAACCGUAGUGGGCCCAAAAUGUGUUGUCCUCCAUAAAUGAAGGCUGGGAUCAAUGGAAAAGCAGACCUGUUCCUGGGUAGGAAGACCUAAUGGCAUAAAGUUUUAGUGCAUUAGGGAUUGGUAGGAUCCAUCAAAACUAUAAAUUGGUAUACAUUCGGACUUGGCACUUCACUUUUUUUUUUUUUAAGAUUUUAUUUAUUUAUUCACGAGAGACACAGAUAGAGGCAUAGACAUAGGCAAAGGGAGAAGCAGGUUCCCUGUGGGGAGGCUGAUGAGGGACUCGAUCCCAGGACCCUGGGAUCACGACCUGAACCAAAGGCAGAUGCUCAACCACGGGGCCACCUAGGUGCCCCCCAACAUUCCACUUUUAACAAUGAUUUCUAGAGAUAGUAUCUAAGAAAUAUUAUUCAUUGCAGCAUUUUUUGGUAAUAGCAAAAAAUUGGAAGCAACACAGAUGUCAACUAAUAUAGGCUUCAUUAAAGAAUUUAUGGUACAAUUACUUUGGAAUACUAUACAGCUAUUAAAAAGAAUGAGUAGGUGCUUUUUUGUAUUGAUUUAGAAAGAUUUUCAAGAUAGACUAAAUGAGGGACACCUGGAUGGCUCAGUAGUUUGGUGCCUGCCUUCUGCCCAGGGCGUGAUCCUGGAGACCUGGGAUCGAGUUCCGCAUCAGGCUCCCUGCAUGGAGCCUGCUUCUCCUUCUGCCUCUGCCUGUGUCUCUGCCUCUCUCUCAAAUAAAAUUUUAAAAAGUAUUAAAAAAAAAGACUAAAUGAAAAAAAGUCAAGUUGCUGGAAAUAUGCAUCUAGUAUCUUAUAAUGUGAGAAAAAAGAAGAGGACAAAAGUUGACCUCUUUGACCAGGAACAAUCCCAUGGAAGGCUAAACAAAAAACUGCUACUAUUGAUGAGCUGUGUUGGGUUUAGGGAUGAUAACUGACUGGAAUUGGGACAGAGCAAGACUGAGACUUUCUACCGUGUAUAUUUUUAUGCUUGUUUGAUGUUUGGACAAUGUGAACGUAUUAUCUGCUCACAGUAAAUUAGAAUAUAAAUGCAGAAGUGCUCUCUUUUGCUUACUAAGAUGAUGCUAUUGAUUUACCAUAAGUAGGAGUUUCAUUUUUAGUUUAAUUUUAACCGUAAUACAUUUGCACUGAACCAUGAUGCCACAUUUCUUCAUUUCUAAGAUGCCUAUUCUCCCAUGUACUGACAUUUUUCUGAAAUGAGUAAUCUCCCUUCUCUUAUUGCACAUAAACAUAGUACCAAACUUUAUUGUGCUAUUUGCCUACUAUUGGAUAUUAAGGUUGUUGCCAGUUUUUUUUCCCCUUUCAUUUCUUCUCCAUGAAUAGUUGUCUCAUGCUGUUUAUUGAAUUGUUAAGAAGUGUUCGGUUUUGUUUUUGACAAUUAGAAACAAUGCUGCAAUGCUCCAGUAUAGUGUGGCACUUAAAAAUAUGGAUUCUAGGAUUGCCUGGGUGGCUCAGUCAGUUAAGCUUCUGCUUUUGGUCAGGUCAUGAUCUUGGGGCUCUGGGAUCAAACCCUGCAUUAGGCUCCCUGCUCAGCGGAGAGUCUGCUUCUCCCUUUCCCUCUGCUUCUCCUCCUUGCUUGUGCUCUCUCUCUCUCUCUCUCUCUCAAAAAAAUUAAAUUAAAAAAAAUAUAUGGGUUAUAGAAUCACACUGCCUGGGUUUGGAUGGGGCCAUAGUACCUGCCGGCUGAGUAAUUUGGGCAGUAAUGUAGCCCAAGUCUCCUUAUUUGUGAGAUUGAGAUUAUGACACCUCCGAUUUCAUAUGAUUUUAGCACCAUACUUGGUGCAUGGCAUAAGCAUUCAGUAAAUAUCACCCUCUUUGUAAUAAAAAAUACUUGCUGGUGUAUAAGAAUAAUUUCUAUACAAGAUUCCUAGAAAUGGUAUUAUUUAACCAAAGAGUAUAAACACUUCAGAACUCUUGAUAGGUAUUGAGAAGUUGCUUUUCACAAAUUCUAUUAAUUUAUCUAUUAGCAGUGCCGAAAAUGAAUAUAUUUUUAAUAUUUUUUAAAAUUCAAGACAUGACAGCACUUAAAUAUUUAAUUUCUUUUUUACUACUGGGUUGAUGAAACUUUGUUUUUUACUGUGCAUAUUUGAUCUAUUUAUAUUUCCUUUUAUUUGAAUUUAUUGACUCUUGACUUCUGUUCCAUUGUCUAACAUGGUCUUAGUAUUUAUCUGAUGGAUUUAUAUGAGCUGUAUACAAUAUUGAUACUUUAAUUCUGCGUUAUUUAUGCAUUUUCAACUUUUUAAAAAAUGUAGUGAUUUUUAAAAUGAACUCGUCAUCUUUUAAAUUAAAAAUAUGAAGAUAUUAAAA